GGCCAGUGAUGCGAGAACUAUUUGCUACUCUUGAUGGGGCAAAUGUCCCAUCUGAUGAUCACUAACCACUAACCACCAAGAUCUUUGAGGAC
Oryza brachyantha (malo sina) is the source of this 92-nucleotide non-coding RNA. NCBI's taxonomy places the organism in Eukaryota, Viridiplantae, Streptophyta, Magnoliopsida, Poales, Poaceae. The record is from Rfam.